Salmo salar (Atlantic salmon) is the source of this 1281-nucleotide non-coding RNA. Lineage: Eukaryota; Metazoa; Chordata; Actinopteri; Salmoniformes; Salmonidae. The record is from RefSeq and is a predicted model, not a curated record.
UUUGGAAUGAUUUAGUUUGGAAACAUGGACCAAGGAAGACAGGGUGGUGGGGAAAGAAGAGUGGCAGGGAGAGGGAGAAUGCGUGGAGGACAAAAGAGAGGAAGACCAAAAGCAGUGGUCUCUGAUGAGAUAAGGGCUACAAUUAUUAACCAUGUUGUAAACCAUGGUCUCUCUUUGAGAGAGGCCGGUUUAAGGGUGCAACCAAAUCUGCAGCGUUCAACAGUUGCAUCAAUAGUACGGAUUUUCCGGCAAAACAACAGUAGGAUCCAAAGAUUGCCUCCCACAGGAAGGAGAGGCAGAAUAUUAUCAGAUGCGCAGGAAAUUGCCAUGGUAAUUUGCAACAAUGCAAUAAAACUGAGGGAAAUUCGGGACAGAGUGCUGGCAGACAAUAUCACUUUUGGGAAUGUAAAAACGGUCAGCACAAUGACAUGCCAGAGUCCUAGAGAAUCAUAAGGAUGAAGCAGUUGUACACUGUACCCUUUGAGAGAAACGGUGAACGUGUGAAAGAACUCCGGUAUCAAUAUGUCCAGAGUGUAAUGGAGAUGGAAGCCAGGCAGACUGCACAUACAUUCAUCUUUGUGGAUGAAGCUGGAUUCAACCUGGCAAAAACACACCGCAGGGGAAGAAAUGUGAUUGGACAGAGUGCAACCGUGGAUGUCCCAGGCCAGAAGAGCUAACGUCACAAUGUGUGCAGCACUGUCCAAUGAUGGUUUGUUGUUACACAAACCACUCAUUGGCCCCUACAAUACAGAGGCUCAUUUAUUUUCUGGAUGACCUGCAUAAUCGACUUGUGCCAGCGGUGGAGAGGGGCAAGAAACUCCCCUACCUUCGUUGUUGUGUGGGAUAAUGUGGCAUUCCACCACUCUGCUGUAGUCAGACUGGUUUGCUGCACAUCCCAGGAUGUCAGUACUAUGCCUGCCUCAAUAGUCCCCCUUCCUAAACCCCAUAGAGGAGUUUUUCUCUGCGUGGAGGUGGAAGGAUUAUGACCACCAUCCACAUCACCAGAUGCCCUUACUGGAUGUCAUGAAUGCAGGGUGUGGAGACAAUUCUCCUGAAGACUGCCAGGGUUGGAUUAGGCAUUCCAGAAGAUACUUCUCAAGAUGCAUCGCCAGAGAAGACAUAAAGAUGUGAUGUUGAUGAGAACUUGUGACCAAAUGCAGGAGCGAGGGAGGACGAGAACUCUCACAGUACUGUACAGUAUGAGUGAUUAUACUAUACAUGUUGUUGAGAACUAGAACCCUCACAGUACUGUACAGUAUGAGUGAUUAUACUAUACAUGUU